Molecule: ribosomal RNA, 442 nt
Filed under: uncultured bacterium
Lineage: Bacteria
Description: partial 16S ribosomal RNA
Rfam family: Bacterial small subunit ribosomal RNA
Source: RNAcentral
CCUACGGGAGGCAGCAGUAGGGAAUUUUUCACAAUGGGCGAAAGCCUGAUGGAGCAACGCCGCGUGCAGGAUGAAGGCCUUCGGGUUGUAAACUGCUUUUAUAAGCGAGAAAUAUGAUGGUAACUUAUGAAUAAGGAUCGGCUAACUACGUGCCAGCAGCCGCGGUCAUACGUAGGAUCCGAGCAUUAUCCGGAGUGACUGGGUGUAAAGAGUUGCGUAGGUGGCAUAAUAAGUAGCUAGUGAAAUCUGGUGGCUCAACCAUUCAGACUAUUGGCUAAACUGUUAAGCUCGAGACCGUUAGGGGUAACUGGAAUUUCUAGUGUAGGAGUGAAAUCCGUAGAUAUUAGAAGGAACACCAAUAGCGUAGGCAGGUUGCUGGGACGGUUCUGACACUAAGGCACGAAAGCGUAGGGAGCAAACGGGAUUAGAUACCCUUGUAGUC